This 691-nucleotide ribosomal RNA is filed under the name bacterium YN07B-32. Its description in RNAcentral is "bacterial SSU rRNA". It matches the Rfam family "Bacterial small subunit ribosomal RNA", at positions 78 to 752 of the family's 1533-position model. The record is from RNAcentral.
GCUUGCUCCCUUAGGUCAGCGGCGGACGGGUGAGUAACACGUGGGUAACCUGCCUGUAAGACUGGGAUAACUCCGGGAAACCGGGGCUAAUACCGGAUGCUUGAUUGAACCGCAUGGUUCAAUCAUAAAAGGUGGCUUUUAGCUACCACUUACAGAUGGACCCGCGGCGCAUUAGCUAGUUGGUGAGGUAACGGCUCACCAAGGCGACGAUGCGUAGCCGACCUGAGAGGGUGAUCGGCCACACUGGGACUGAGACACGGCCCAGACUCCUACGGGAGGCAGCAGUAGGGAAUCUUCCGCAAUGGACGAAAGUCUGACGGAGCAACGCCGCGUGAGUGAUGAAGGUUUUCGGAUCGUAAAACUCUGUUGUUAGGGAAGAACAAGUACCGUUCGAAUAGGGCGGUACCUUGACGGUACCUAACCAGAAAGCCACGGCUAACUACGUGCCAGCAGCCGCGGUAAUACGUAGGUGGCAAGCGUUGUCCGGAAUUAUUGGGCGUAAAGCGCGCGCAGGCGGUUUCUUAAGUCUGAUGUGAAAGCCCCCGGCUCAACCGGGGAGGGUCAUUGGAAACUGGGGAACUUGAGUGCAGAAGAGGAGAGUGGAAUUCCACGUGUAGCGGUGAAAUGCGUAGAGAUGUGGAGGAACACCAGUGGCGAAGGCGACUCUCUGGUCUGUAACUGACGCUGAGGC